UACGUAGGGGGCAAGCGUUGUCCGGAAUCAUUGGGCGUAAAGCGCGUGUAGGCGGCCCGGUAAGUCCGCUGUGAAAGUCGGGGGCUCAACCCUCGGAUGCCGGUGGAUACUGUCGGGCUAGAGUGCGGAAGAGGCGAGUGGAAUUCCUGGUGUAGCGGUGAAAUGCGCAGAUAUCAGGAGGAACACCAAUUGCGAAGGCAGCUCGCUGGGACGUGACUGACGCUGAGACGCGAAAGCGUGGGGAGCAAACAGG
Molecule: ribosomal RNA, 253 nt
Filed under: uncultured bacterium
Lineage: Bacteria
Description: partial 16S ribosomal RNA
Rfam family: Bacterial small subunit ribosomal RNA
Source: RNAcentral